Long non-coding RNA from Hemibagrus wyckioides, 3424 nucleotides. RefSeq lists it as uncharacterized. The record is from RefSeq and is a predicted model, not a curated record. The transcript has 4 exons. NCBI's taxonomy places the organism in Eukaryota, Metazoa, Chordata, Actinopteri, Siluriformes, Bagridae.
AGGUUGUACGCGCUGGUUGUUAUGGUUCAUCAUGGUUUCUAAGGAUUAAAGGCAUACGACUAUUAAUGCGUAUCUUUAUACAUUAUUCAGCUCUUACGGUGAUUUCUGAAGUUAUAAAGGAUAUUUCCACGGUGUUGAAUGUGCAAUAAAGCUUUCAGAAACAUCAGUAAAAGUUUCGGCCAUCAUUAGGACAGGGUCCGCUACAGUAAGAGCUUCAUCUUCGCUGGUUCAGAUGUUCGCUGCACGUGCUGACUGACCGUUUCAACGUGACGAUGGUCAAUGGACUGCAGGACUUCGGAAUCGGUGUGAUGGUCUACGGAGCUGAGACACGAACAAGAAUCUGAAAGCCUGCUCCAGACGGGAACAGAAGUUUUCACGGUGUCUGCUGAAAAGAGAGAGAGACAGAAAGACAAAUAAACAGCGAAAAAGACAUCUGUAUGAAGCGUGGCUAUUAUUUCAUUAGACCAUUGCAGCUACAGUGAAAACGUAACGCCAGCAAAGUCGACAGUUUCCAGUGUGGCACGGUACCGGUCGGAUAAGAAGAGAAAACAAGAUCGCAUCGCGUCGGAAAAGAAGUAGGAAAAAAAGGAGGAAACACGAUCGCGUGGGUAGAGAAGGCGUCAGAGAAGAGGCUUGCCGUUUCAUAGCUGUCACAGCCGAGGAAAGUACUGCGACCCGAUUUGUAGAGGCCGACAUUCAGCUACCGCCUUGCAAGUAUCCUUUCUACAGGCUUCAGAGUACACUGUUUGUUUGUUAAUCCCAACUUUACUUCAAGCUGAAGAGUCCUGCUCUGCAAUUAACAGCAGGUGAGGAUUCAUUCGAGCUGCACUCUGUGGACUUGGAGCUGGAGGCCGUGGAGAAACAGAUCUGCGACCUAUAGGCCCAGCGCACCAAGGACGCGGCCCACCCAGGUUUUGUUCACUCCAGUGCCGGGGUACCACGCAGCCUGGAUGCAGCAGCAGCGGAAGACAUGAGCCAAGCCCCAGUCGAGGACCUCUCCCCCUCCGUCGCCACCCGUUUUCGAGAUUUCGACCCGCAACCACUUCGCUCUCCUUCGCGAGACGGAGUGUGACCAAGUGAUCAUCGGAGACUGCAUCAUCCGGCACGUCCGUGCUACCGCGGCUAAAGGUAAGGUGCGCACUCGCUGUUUUCCUGCUGCUCGUGUCGUUGAUGUCGCUGCAUAGGUACCCGUGAUGCUAAAUAAGAACAUCGGAGCUGUGGUCCUCCAUGCUGGCACGAACGACAUCAGGCUGAGGCAGACAGAGAUCCUGAAGAAGGACUUGAGGAGCCUGGUAGAGAAGUUUCACACCACAUCGCCCAUGAUGAGGCUCUACCGUUCUGAUGGCCUGCACCCAAGCAGAGUUGGAGCAGCAGUCAGUUAGCUCUCGAAAUUAGUUAAUAGCUUUCGAAAUAAUCUAAUCACAAUUAAACCUGACAAAGGCCAAAUAAGUAAAGAAAAACAAUUUCUAAAGUUUGGGCUUCUCAACAUUAGAUCCCCUGCACCGAAAGCAAUUAUUGUUAAUGAAAUGAUCUCAGAUUAUAGUUUCGACGCACUCUGUCUUACCGAAACUUGGCUUAGACCAAAUGAAUACAUUGGUCUGAAUGAGUCUACUCCAUCAGGAUAUUCCUAUAAGCAUGAGCCCCGUCAGACUGGUCGUUGCGGUGGUGUUGCAACCAUUUAUAACUAUUCUCUUACCGUCACUCAGAAAAUAGGACCCAGGUUUAGCUCAUUUGAAGUGCUUCUCCUUAAUGUUGCACAAAAAAUCCCUACUACAUCUUUCUCUGGCCAUCGUAUAUAGACCCCCGGGGCCGUACGCUGAUUUUCUUAAAGAGUUUGCAUAUUUACUCUCAGAUCUUUUGAUCAGUUUUGACAAAGUGUUAAUUGUAGGAGAAUUUAACAUUCAUGUAGACGAUGCUAACGAUACUUUAGGACUCGCAUUUAUCGAUUUACUAAAUUCCUUUGGGGUUAAACAAAACAUAAAUAGACCAACUCAUCGUUUUAAUCAUACACUAGAUUUAGUUAUAUCACAUGGGACCGAUGUCACUGAUGUAGCCAUUCUACCUCAAAGCGAUGACAUCACAGACCAUCACCUAUUAGUGUACACUCUACCUGUAGAACAUAUUAGACAUGUCUCUCCACGUUAUCAAUUUGGUAGAACUAUUACUCCGACCACUAAAGACAGAUUCACAAGCACUCUCCCAGAUCUGUCUCAACUUUUUACUAGACCCCUAAAUGCAGAUGAUUUAGAUGAAGUAACUAACAGCAUAGGCACUAUUUUCACCAGCACACUAAACACUGUUGCCCCCAUCCGACUAAUAAAGGUCAGAGAUAAAACACCUGCACCAUGGUAUAAUAGUCAUACUCGCGCCCUCAAGAGAGCAACCCGUAACCUCGAGCGAAAGUGGAGAAAAACCAAAUUAGAAGUUUUUAGAAUUGCGUUUAAAGACAGUUUGUCUUUGUUGCUAUAGACAGGCUCUAAAGGCUGCUAGGGCUGAGCAUCUGAGCAAACUGAUAGAAAUAAACCCAGAUUCUUAUUUAGUACAGUGGUUAGACAAACAAAACAUCAGAUUCCUGGAGAGAGUAUUUCAUCACAGUUUAGUAGUGAGGACUUUAAUUGAUAGUAUCAGGAACAAAAUAUUGGAUGUUCAACAUUUGACAGCAUCUGGUGAUCUAGACCAGCCUAUAGCUCCACAUUUAAAGCUACAAUGCUUUACCAGUAUAGGGCAGGAAGAGCUAUUUAAACUUAUGGCUAACCCACGGCUAAAUCAACAACGUGUUGGUGAGAUCCAAUUCCAACUAGAUUGCUGAAAGAAGUGAUACAUGCAGCUGGAGAGCCUCUUCUGAAUAUUAUUAAUUCCUCGUUAUAUCUAGGUCAUGUCCCAAAAUCUCAAGUUAGCAGUUAUUAAGCGUCUUCUUAAGAAACCUAAACUAGACCCUUAUAUCAAAUUACAGACCUGUUUCAAACCUUCUGUUAAUAUCAACAGUAUUAGAAAAAGUGGUGUCAGCUCAAUUAUGCUCCUUCUUACAGGAAAACAAUAUCCUUGAAGAAUUUCAGUCAGGUUUCAGGCCCCAUCACAGUACAGAAACUGCACUAGUUAAAAUCACAAAUGACUUGCUUUUAGCUUCGGACCAAGGCUGCAUCUCCAUAUCAGUCCUGCUUGAUCUUAGUGCUGUGUUUGACACUAUAUAGAUCAUAACAUUCUUGUAGAUCGCUUACAAAAUCACAUAGGUUUGCAAGGACAGGCAUUAAAAUGGUUUAGAUCCUACCUGUCUGAUAGAUCCCCUUUUGUAGAUUUAAAUGGAGAACUAGUGUAGUGCCAGUGAAAUACGGGGUCCCACAAGGAUCAGUUUUAGGACUUCUGCUUUUCUCAGUAUACAUGCUUCCAUUGGGUAACAUAAUUAGAUGGCAUGGGAUUAGUUUCC